AUUCCCACCAGAUUCCUGCUUCUUAUGAUGAAAUAUUCACAUCUGCUAGAAAGUAUAGCAUGUUUACUUAGCUGUAAGGAGCACUGAAACCCAGGCCUGCACCAGUCCCCAUUUAUACUGACCAAGGUAUCUGAGCCCCACUAUGUGCUGCCUCCUCCUCACUCCAGGAAGCAUCUCUAGCUGUCAUCCAUGCCCUCCUUAACUGUUGCUCCACAUAGGUGUGGAGCCCAUCCAGUAUUCUUCACACUGCUUGUUCUUAACAUUUAUGAAAACAGAACUGUGCUGAAUGUAUUCUUCAGUCAGUGUUUUUACAGUGAACAUCAAGUUUCAACUGUAUUAAUGUGUGUGUCUGUAGUUUGUUUUUGUCCAUUGCUCUAUAGUAUUCCACUGUGUGGCUGCUCUUCUCAGGGAAGUUAAAAAUGGUUUCUUGCUCCUUUUUCUAUAAAACGUUAUAAACUUACUUCAACAAGCACACAUGUGUAGCAGUUCACAUAUCAAGGAUUGGAAUUGAUGGCCUGGGAGCUUAUGCCUCUGUGCUUGCCGAGUAAUGAUGUCUAAUUGCCUCCUAUCAGUAGGUCCUGAGAGUCCUGUGGCCCAUGUCCUGCUGACAUCAGGCAUUGGUUCAUGCUGUGUGCUUGCCGGUCUGGGACAUGUGAUAUCAGCAUCUCCUGGGUCUAAUAACCUCUGAUUAUUAAUGCAGUAGAGCAUGUGACUGGCCAUUCGUAGUUUAGCUGCUGUACAUGCCUGUCUUUUUCCAGUUUUUCUCAUAAAUUACUUGUCUUUUUCUUGUGAACCUGUAGGUGUUCUUUUUAUAUUCCAAGCAUCUGCCCUCUGUUUCCUCUUUAUUCCACCAUCUUUUCUCUUCAUGGUUGUGAGAAAUGAUAGAACAUCAUGUGAAAUGGGUCAUAUGAACCAGUCUUCUUCCUCAUCAUUCCUGGUUUUGGUUUCUUGUUGGAUGAAUCUUUCCACACCCCAGAGUGGUAAAGAGUUUUCUCAUACAUUCUUCUAAAAGUUUUAUGUCACUUAUUUUGUUUUCUAUGCAGAAUUUCACUUCAAAUUAAAAACUCUCCAAUCUUUCCUUGCAAGUUGCCUUUACCUAGAAUAUAUCUAGGGGGUCUUAUGACCCAAAGAGGUAGGCACAAAUCCUAGGCAUUCAUUUAUCCACUAGGAAAAUAAUGUACUGUGCAGAGUUCUGUAAGCUGCCGAGAAUGAGUACCAUAAGAAUGAGCCUGACUCCUACAGUGUCCUCAAGUACAGUGUGCUAAAUGGUAUCAUGAGGACAGCUCACUGUGGGUUUGCUAGUGUUAGAAAUGGAGCUGCAAGGGUUAGGAGAGAAAGCAAGCAAUUCAUGCAUAAAUGGGUACAAUACACACACCUCAACAUCAGGAUGGUGCCUUCCUCUGAGGCCACUUUGCCAUCUCGAAUCCUGUCCAACCUUGAAAAAUUUAGAGACGGCCCAGGCAACAGAUUUCAAGGGUUGAAAAUACUGCAGCAUACAAUAUUGCCUCUUCCAAACUAUUCUUUUCUUCUUUGACAAAACAUACUCCAAGAUAGAGUUCUCAGGUCAUUCCAGGACAGAAGGUUGAGAUGCAUAACAACAGGCAACCAGUGCAUAGCCUGAAUAGCUAAAGAGAGAUGCAGGUGGAGUAACUGCUGGAUUCUCUGUACUUUAUGAAGUCGGCAAUGGUAGAGAUGCACCUUAAACAUAGGUAGUCAAGUUUAAGUUGCAGGUUGAUAUUUACAGCCCACAUAGAUUUAAGUCUGUUCCAUUCUUUGGUGGGUAGCUCCAGCUUUGCAUGAGACCUUGAACUUAACCCUGUGUACUCUAGGUUCUCUUUGCCAGAAGCAGUAAAGGUUACUGAGUUCUUGUGUCAGUUCCUCCAGGGACUAACUGGGACCCUAGGGAAUCUCUUGGACUCUGAGCUCCACUUCCUCUCAGUGAGGUGGAGACCAUAAGCUUGCCCAGUGUAGGAGGAUGUUUUGAAAAGGUUUGCUGACAGGUUUCCCCUGGGCAUUGAAGGGGUUUGCCCAUACUCCAUCUGGUGGGAAAAGGGCCAGAAUUAAAACCCAGGCCUUUCUCCCACCAAAAUAUAGCUUCUUCCUGUCAUGCUGUUGCUGUCAUUUUUAAAAAUAAUAAUCAGAGUAAAAUUGGGAGAACAGGUUUGAGCCUCAUGCUAUCACACCCAGCAGAGUAGCAGAGCAUGCACUGAGGGUCUCAGAAAGUUCUCUCAGAAGUUUUUGGUAAAAUAUAACCUGUGCGGACACAGAGCCUCUGAAGUCUUGUAGAGAAAUGUUAACCACGAUAAAGUACAUAUGGACAGUGUCACUAACAAAAUUCAAAACUACCAAGGUGAUUUCUAUUUGAUGAUUUGAAUGUUUUCUGAAUUCGGUAAUGAAAAAGAAAACUCCUUUUAAAAGUAUUUUACUUUUUUUAGUGAGAUGGUGAUACAGAGCAGGGUAAAGUUGCACAGUUGCUCCUGGGUUCUUUAAGAGAACGAAAGAGCAGAAGCUGGUAUUGAAAAGGGGGUCCGAUCUGUGUCCAGGGCCUCCUUUGCCACCUGCUUAGGCAGAGGUCUUUGACCAUCCAGUGCUGGGUGUUAGCUCAGUAUUCACAUUUGAACAUGUCUUAUGGACAAGGUGAACCUUACAUGAGUCCUGAUAUUCGACUUAUAAUGUCCUUCUUUACAGAGAGCAGCCAGCACCAAAGCCCUAAGGAUGUUAGGGAAGAAAACGUCCCACAACACUGCUCCAAAUGGCCCUGGCUGCUGGUUCUAAUAGAUUCUGUCAUGAUCCCAAGGCUGCAUUUUGUAAGGCUACUCGGAAAUGAUUUUUGGCACCCAUCAGUUCCUUGUCUGUGUCUGAACGCUGCCAGAGGUUGAUAUUUGUUUCUCUUUGUCACGGUGCUUACAUGCCCUGAUCCGGGCAAUUCUGAUGAGCUCCCGCUCUCACCCCAACCCCUAAUGGCUGUUUGUCUAAAUGACAAAACCCAGUCUAGCGCCAUUAGCACGCAGUUGGGGUGCAUGCUGCAUGUGACAGGCCAGGGCAUAAAUGGCAAGACUGAGAUGCUUCUGCAAACUGAGCACCUCCUCCUUCUUUUGUGGCUGCCAUGGAGCCUUAGUUUAGGAAUCAGAGGCUCUCAGAACUUGGUGAUUGCCUCCUGUGACCAUUAAUGCAGGACUUCCUCCAGAGAGCACAGCCCUCUGGGCCUGACAGGGACCAGCUUGUGCCAGUGGGAGCGUAUCAUUCAGGGAUGAUGGGCCACUGUCUAAGCUGUCUCUGUGGCAUCACGCACAACACCCCUCUGUAGAUUUGACUAUGAGCUAGAGAGGCAGAGCAUGACAGGUCUUUGAGUGUCGCUCCUGUUCGAGCCCAGGCCCAUGGGCAGACUGUGGGCUGAAAGGGGGAGCCAUGAAUUGAGUGUUGACAGCGGGCCAUGGCGGUCCAAAGGCUCAGGUGGUUGUCAGCCGUAAGUUUAGCUCAGCUCUUUGAGUAAUUUGUCACGCCUCGCUCGGCCCCUGCUGGGCCAGCACGUGCCAGCUUACUGUCAGAGUGCCUGUUCGCCAGACGGCCACUCAGGCCUAACAUCCUGCUGUUCCCCGACCAGCGGCUUGCUGGGGCCGUGCUCGGAAGGCCGAGCCACAGCAACAGCCAAGUGCUGUGCAGAAUAAGCAUGUUCAUAAUGAGACAUGAAUGGCAUUAGUGGGUCCCCCUAGAAUUGGGCCUGAGCAGGCACCGCAUGCUGAGGAAGUUUGGCAGGCUGUUCAUUAAGGCAAGUCACCAGGAGUUCAGCCUCAGCCGUGGAGCCGGCCGGGUGCAGGCUGCCCAGGCCUCUGUCUAUAGAAAAGAUCAUAAAUCAUCAUGGGGCCACUUCUGAACUCUUCAUGCCCAUGUUCGUCAUGUUACAUUUUGUUUAGUUGCAUCCAGCAAGAUUGAGAAGGAUCCCUGGCCUGUGAUAGUGUUGCUUUCCGUGAUGAUAGGCCUGUCCUCUAUUCUGUGCCACCAAUCCUACAACCCCUGGCCUGGCACAGUGCUGAGCACUUGAAAUACAGCAAGUAAGGCAGAAGAACCAAGUUUUAAAUUUUUAAUUAAUUAAAAUUUAAAUAUAGAUAGCUGCAUGUGACAUGUGGCUCUCUAGAUUGCUCUGGUCACCCAAGGUAUGAAGUCAUCCUCUGAACACAUAUGAGAGGAGGCGGAGGAAAAGCCUACAUCUGGAAAUCAGUGUACCUACUUUGUUAAAAGAAAAUAGACAAACAUCUACCUAUUUUAAAGUACAGGCUCCAUUGAAAGGACAAGUCACCAACUUAUAUUUUUCAAGAGGCCAUUUUGAAAAGAUAGUUUUAAGGGACAGUAAGAAAUGCUAGAAUUACUUGGAAGUAACAGAUUAAGGGGUGGCUCUCAUUCUCAGUGUUCCUGGAAAAUCAGCCCAGUUUUCAAACUGACUGCAACAUGUCUUUUAACUUUGGCUUUGGUAAUGGGGAAGGGGAAGUGAGACAUCACACCAACCUCCCCAGUGUUAAUUUGUGAAGUCUUAUGUGCUGCUGCCAUCCAUUGUCAGUUGUUCUGUUGUUACCCUGGUGUUAGAAGUGCAUGAGUCACCUUCCCAGGAAACAGAAGCCACACACAAAAGGCGAAGAUUUGCUUUCUACCCUGUGAAAGGCUGCCACACGCAGGGGUCCUAUUAAGACAGCUGGAAAGUUGCUUCAGCGUGUUACGCUUCUAUGAAGAACGAGCACUGUAUCUUGAAGCAAUAAUUCAGAACCAUCGCGAAGUCAUGACAUUCGAGGAUUUUGCAGCUCAAGUCUUCUCCCCCUCGCCCAGCUAUUCCCUCAGCGGAACGGAUUAAAAUAUACAGAGGUCUUGUUAUGGUACCUGAGCAAGGUGCUGUGGCCUCCAGCCUGAAGUGCCACCCCAGGAGAACCCUAGUGUGGAGGAGACAGGCAGAUUCCUCAUCGUCCCCAAGCCCCCAGACCUGGUGGCCCCUGGAAUCAUGGCUGUGCAGACUUGUGGAAAAGUCACAUGGAACUUCUGGACAAGGCUGUGUCCUCCUGACCUGAAACCUCACAAACUUCCAGCUUUCAAAGAAAAAAGAAAAAAGGCGACAACAACCAGAGACAAGCAGCUGCCACAGGGCAUGGGUGGCUACUUCUGGGGAGGGGGUAGAGGGCAGUUGGCUCCCCAUUCAUAAAUAUAACCACCCAUCCCAGAGGAACCAGCAAAACAUGGUUAUUGUGGGAGGAAUUUCCUGUGUGUGUAUUUCACCUGUUCUUUCUAUGUUAGGAUCAUGGUUUUCUCAGAAAUUUCAUCAUCAUGACAAUUGGCUCUCCCCAGAGUCCUUACCAGGGAGAAGGUUUACCUCUUUCACCUGGUGCUUGCAGCCCUCUAGCACAGCAGGAUCGACUGACGGCCAUGCUGCUGCCCCGGAGCACUCAGAGCUCUUUCAAAAUCCAGGGUCCUGUCCUCAAGAGAGCUCCUACAGGACAAGGAUGAUCGCUAGGCACAGUGCAGCUCAGCUCCUCCAACACCAAGGCAAGCAUCCCUAGGACACAGAUCUCGUGCCUCUUUCCUAUCCUCCACAAUGGCCUACACACACCUGCAUAUCACCCUCAGCCUGCCUGGUGACUGAUAAUCGGCACAGCCAUUUCCCUGCAGGGCCAGUUUGUUCCCAGAGGCCAUGGAGUUUCUUUGACUGAUGGCAACUCAUGCAGGACAAGGGCAACCUGGGAGCCAGGCAUGCUCUGGGACACUUGGGAAAGGACCAAGCAUAGUCCCUGCUGGGAGGGCAGACCUUAUAGGCAGAGCUGCCCCAGGCUUGGGGAACAAAGCACCUCGAGCUGUCCCACUUGAGACAGGAUGUUCCAGGUGGCCAUUAUCACUCGGGGCUGUGUUCUAAGGGUGUGGGGAGGUGACCAGGUUUGGUGCUAUUUCCCACCAUGUCCCCAUUCUUCCUCUCACCAGUCCCUUUUCAUUGAUUUUAGCUUUCUAGUCACUGAUUUGGCUGGUGUCACUCAGACUUGCUGGUCUUAUUGCUGGUGUGCUUGGUUUCAUGUUUACAAAGUGCCCAGACCUUGUUCUUAUACAGAGUUCAUCACCUGUCCCUGGGCCCAAAGGCAGGAAAUGGCUCCCAGGAGAACAUGGAUCCACAGGCUCCAUGCACAGAGGGCAGAGGGAGGAGAGGCGUGGCAGGGACCGGAAGGAUUUUCCUUUCUGUGGUGCCAAGGUGGAGUACAGAGCCUCACUUGUGCUAGACCAGUGCUCAGCUCUUGAGCCCCACCCAGCCUCUGUUGCCAGAGUUGAUGCCCAGGACUUCGGGCUUUAUUUUAUCUCUGGCGAGCUAGCUCUGACCUUGGAGUAGGAAAUUCAAUUGCAAGUAGCAAAAACUCAACCUUGGUGUAAUCCCCAGUAGUUUUAACAACCCCAUGACCCAGAUGACAGCCGGGAGUCCUCCACCUGGAGUCUGAGUCCACUGUUGCAGGAGCAGCUUUGGUUUGGAGACAGACUGGGAAGCAGGGAGUCUGGCAACCAUGUUGCUCGCAAUGCAUGACUUAGUCAUUUUUGUUAUUUGGGGUGGAAAAUUGAAGUGGUCAAGUUUUUUUUUUUCUAGUUAGAAAAGAAAAGAUUAUGUUUUUAUAAUAAAUGCCUUUUAGCAAAAUUGCCAGGGUCACUCAGACCCUUCCAGCCACACACUGACUCUUCACCUCCUGGGGCGUGUGUCAGCAUCUGCAAACACAAGCGGCACGCAGUGGCCCCAAAUAGGGUCAUGCUCAUGCCUCACGUCAGGCCCACCUGCUUCCCCCACUCCACACACUAGAUUCCAGAUUUCCAUCAGAGCAAAGCCGAGUUUAGAGUCUCACGCAUCAGCUUUUAUACUUAAAAAAAAUAGUAAUUCCACAAAUAGUGACUUUAAAAAUAAUCGAGCCUUGAGCAUGAAGGAAUGUAGCUCAGGAGAGCGGCUGUCACACGUGUCUUUGGCAGCUAAGUCUGCUGCUCCUAAGAGCUGUGGGUGGGGGACCCUGGCCUUGUGAUGUGGGUUGAUCCACUGGACCCUUAGCCUUACAAACAAGAGAUCAUACAGAUCCAGAGAGCCAUGUAAGUCCCUGUCUUCCCAAUCAAUUUCAGUGCCGCUGCUGCCCACCACUGAUCUGAUCUAUUUGUUGCAAGCAGAGGUUUAUGAAUCCUUUGAAACUUACUGUGACAUCCUAUAUGUAGCUGAGUACUUUAUAUCUACCGAAGGGGACAUUCAACAAGAAAUAGCCAUAGUUGUAGCUGCACUCCGUAUCUAUGUAUGACAUGCACAUUAAGUGAAUGUUUCCCAUGUUUUCAGAUCUACAAAGUUUAGUAUGUGUAAAUAGGGAAAAAUUUGAUAAAUAUGGUAAAUUAAGUUUAUAGUGUGUCAUUUGACUCUUGUUUUGCUGCCUUGUUAUUUAAUUUCCCAACCCCUCCACAUCUAGGGUGGUUCUGAGGUAGAGACCCUCUCAGCUAAUCCACCCUGCAGACAUGAGUGUGUGUGUGUGUGUGUGUGUGUGUGUGUGUGUGUGUGUGCAUGUGACACAGGACACACUCCACGAAGGCAGCCGUGCUCUGGGAUAGCGUGCAGCUCACUGCUGAUGCCUGACUGACUCUAGUUCACCCUCUUCCCCCUUCAGUUCUGACUGUGAUGAUUUAAUAAGUGGAGACAUAGCACUCAGCUGCUAUAUGUUUCUGUCAGGCCUCUGGUUUGUAGGAAAAUAAAAUUUAUCUUGGCAUCUAAUAAAAAAGAUGGUUUGUAUUUUUAUUGUAGAGAGUUGUUCAGAAAUGUUUUUAAACCAAAGCCUAAGCAUGUGUCCAACAUGAUAUCUGGUACCAGAGCAAGGAAGUUUACAUGCAUAGGCAAAGUUGACCCCAUGGGUCCUGCUGUGGCCUGCUAAGAGCUGGCCACCAGAGGUCCUGAGCCCAAUGUCAUUGCCCCACCCACACAACCCCGUGGGGCUUGUCCGUGGUUCGUCCUGACAAGUAAGCUGUAAUGUGGCCUCCUGCUGGCACAGCUGAGGCCAGGCUCAUGGCUCUGCCUUAGGACACUAGCUGUCACACUGCAGGCUGGCCCCAGCCACUGCCUGUGUCCUGGGCCACUCUGCUCUAGAGAGCAGCAGAAUGCUCACAACACUAGGCAGCUGAGUUUAUGAAAUCACUCUCUUGUCCAUUUAGGAAAUGCUCCUUGAGUACUUGUUACUUGCAAGAUAAUCAGUGGCCUCAGGAGAGUGGUCCAGGUGUUCCCAGGAGUCAGACGUGGAGUCUGAACUGGAUUGGGCUUCUUUCUCGCUUUUGAUAAACAGCAAAGCCUGUGCACAGGAUCGUCAUGGUUUUAAUACUUUGCUUCUGGUAGGAAGCUCAUGGGAAAUAAGGGCCUCUGUGGCGAGAAGCAGUGGUUCCCACCUUGGACCGUCAGCCUCAUGCAGGAAGCUGGGGUUCCUGCCCUACUACACCCUGACUUCUGUUGCCUCUGCUCGCUUUCCUUACCUACCCAGAGGACACAGCUGCAGAGACAGGCUGGGGAGCCUGAGCCAAGCCACUGUGGUGCUCAGGGAAGUGGGUGGGUCUCAAUGUGGGGGCCUGGGGAUCACACCUUGGAAGGGGAGCUCCUUGGGGUUGUGUCCUGCCCCUCACAGCUCAGCUGGGGAGCAGUUCAUGGGAGGCCCCUUGGGAUAGUUCUGCAAUGUUUUUCAGAUCUGGCCAUUUAGAAUUCAAAGGCUACUGUUACCAAAGCCUGGUAAAGAAGCUUAUUUUCUUACAGCAAAGAGGAGGAGGGCUUCCUGCACUAUAUCCAUUUCCUAUAGGUGACCAGUCAACAAACCCCAGGCCCUGUCCUGUAAGACCAGCAGAAUUCCAAAAGGAACUAAACUUACAGUGGCCCUCAAAAGGACCAUUGCUGCAAGCAACGCUGUCAUAGGUCCACCUUGGUCUUUGUCUGGUGCCAGAAUUUACAGCAAAAACACUCUCAUGUUACGCCCCUGGUAUAAUUCUCUAAGUGUCCCAGGAAAAAGUUGGAGUUAUUUAUUUAUCUUCCAGUGAGGAGCCUUGAACAUUGUACCCAUUCACUUCUGUCAUCAUCGCCACUAUUGUCAGGG
Molecule: long non-coding RNA, 9101 nt
Organism: Heterocephalus glaber (naked mole-rat)
Lineage: Eukaryota; Metazoa; Chordata; Mammalia; Rodentia; Bathyergidae
Source: Ensembl